GGUCCACCUAAUGGUGGUUACUACUUAGCUGAGCAUUUUACAGAUUUGUCUCUUGAUGCUCUUCACCGAGUGUCAAGAGUGGUCUGUACGUUUACUUUGAAAAAAUUAGAGUGCUUAAAGCAGGCAACUCGCCCGAAUAAUCUUGCAUGGAAUAAUGGAAUAGGACCUUGGUUCUAUUUUGUUGGUCUCCGGAAUCUGAGGUAAUGAUUAAGAGGGACAGACGGGGGCAUUCGUAUUGCGCCGCUAGAGGUGAAAUUCUUGGACCGGCGCAAGACGAACUACAGCGAAAGCAUUUGCCAAGAAUGUUUUCAUUAAUCAAGAACGAAAGUUAGAGGUUCGAAGGCGAUCAGAUACCGCCCUAGUUCUAACCAUAAACGAUGCCAA
Molecule: ribosomal RNA, 384 nt
Filed under: Eutrombicula sp.
Lineage: Eukaryota; Metazoa; Arthropoda; Arachnida; Trombidiformes; Trombiculidae
Description: SSU rRNA
Rfam family: Eukaryotic small subunit ribosomal RNA
Source: RNAcentral